Gallus gallus (chicken) is the source of this 2315-nucleotide long non-coding RNA. RefSeq lists it as uncharacterized. The record is from RefSeq and is a predicted model, not a curated record. Lineage: Eukaryota; Metazoa; Chordata; Aves; Galliformes; Phasianidae. The transcript has 3 exons.
AGAUUUUGGGAGAUGCCUGCGCUGUCUGCCUCUUUUCAGACCAUGGGAACACUGCAAGGAAAAUAAUGAGGAGAUAUGAGGUUAAGGAAUGUGGGAAUUCAAGGUUCUAUAGACCAUGCUUAUGGAUGGAUUGAUGUAGCUGCCUGCUAGGCAUGACAACACCUGCAGCAAGCAGAGAUGUGAGCUCUGAUCCAGCAUUGCUGCGUCAUGUUAAGAAUCAGCUGGACACCUGCUUUCUAACCUGCUAAAACCUUCUGUUCUUAGAAGCUCCCCAUAAACUUUGACAUGUGUAGGUUGGACAAAGAAUUCAGUUCUUGACUGUUUGAGAAGUAUGGCAAUGUUAUUUAAGAAUGUUUUGACUUAUUUAUCAGCUUUGUCUUCUAGCCUAUAGCCUCCUUUCAGACAAUUACCCUCUGUUGUUUUGUAUUAUUUCUCUUUCUGUCUGAUUUUUCUUAGUUUUGGUUUCAUCUCACCAUGGAUUGAAGAUCAAGGGAAAAAUAUUCUUCCACUUUGCUUUAAUGCAACAUGAACAAAGGUGUUAGAAUGUGAUUUUCAGAAAAUAAGUCAUAAUAGUUAUAAAUUUGUGACGUACCCGUUGGGAUUACACAGGCUGGUCAUGUGCUGGCUUGAAAUCUGGGCUGAAACUGUUACAGCUCAAUUGAAAUCAACGUUGCAAAUGUAUUUACUCAGAGUGAGAUCCAUGGAGUGCAAACACCCCAGGCCUAAUAGUGGACGGAAAAUAGAAAAAGCAACUCCUACUCAUUUACUAUGAUAAAUGAUCACCUCAAGAUCCUAAUGGCCGUGGUGUUCUAUCAACAUGUUCAGCUCCUAUCCAACAUCAGGUGGGGUGGUGGUGGCGGAUGAGUGCAGAGCUCAAAUUAUGCUCUGAUCUUGGCAGGUCCUGGAUAAUUUAACAAGCAUGAUUAGAUGCUAAAUAAAUAUUGGUUUUGCAAUUUGCUCACCAGUUUUGCUCUUGGAUAAAAGAGGCUACAAAUACUGUUGCACUGGCAACAGGAACAAACAAUUUAAAAGAUCCGUUCAGACUGUGAUGAAAGCGUUUGAAGAAGAAAAUUUUGGUGGAAUCAUGUUUUGCUCUAAUGAAAACCCUCUGUUCUGCAGUAACUGAAGAAAAUCAGCAAACUCUACUCCUCAUGACUUGAAUUUAAUUGUCAAUUUAAAGGUGAAGCAGUUUUGUGAAAGGAGGAAGUCCCUCAACAGACCCUAUGUAACAGGAUAAGAGCUAAGAUGAGCUCACUUGUUUCAAUGUCAUAUUCUUUGGUUUUGAUAAAGUUUUCAUAGAUGAAGAUAUCUGGCUACACACACAUAGUUUAAUAUAAUAUAGUUAUAUUUACUUCCAAUUUUUGCCAUUGAGGGACUAUUCUUGUAGUGCUCACUUCCUUUGUCUUCACUAUAUGCAUGUGUAUUUUUGCAGUGAAAUAAAUGUAUGUACACACACAGAGUUGUGUCAGUGAAUGCCUAGUUCGUUUUUGCACUAAAAAACCCUCCUGUUGCUUUCAACUUCAGUUGAAGGAGACAGAACUUCAGAUAAGAUACGACCUGCUUUGUCCUGGGCAAAUAUGAGUGGUAAACUGUAGAAAUUGUGGUCAGUGUUUUUCCCUUUAACCCAGCAGCUGUCCUGUGCUGUGUAGUCCCUAUUCACAGUGGGUAUUUAUUACAGCUUCAUAAGAUAAUGCACAACAUUAAUGCCCUGCACACCCUUUUCAACUGCUUCUGCAAGUUAGCUCAGCAUUACACUGCACACCCUCCUUUACUACAUGCACCAAUCUUGAAGCUUGGCUACAUAUCAACUUCUUUGAUUUUUUUUAUUUUUAUUUUUUAUGUUUCAAAUUCAGUGGUUUUGAUUUUUUUCUAUAUUUUAGUGUAAAAUAUCUUCAGUGGAGUUAUACCAAAUCAUGGCCAGCUUAUGAAAUGUCUCCUACUGCUCAAGAAUGAUGGAAUAUUGGUUUAUACACAGAGAUAAGCUCCAGUUUCAGAUGCUGCUGUAAUGUAGAAGAAGAGAGGCAGAGCUCGGGAGACCUGACAGGAGUGAUACCCCUUUAUCCUAUGACCACAUCUACUGUGGGACCUCCUCAACUGCCAUCUUCUUGAUUUGAAGCCUUUUCUUCAAGACAGAGACCCAAAGAAGUGCCACACGCACAGCACCUGGAGCAGCCAAAGAGUUAAAUCACUUCCCAUCGCCGUUUACAUGGGAUACAGAAACAACUUUUCCUGCUGCAUCUGUAGCUGCCAGCAGAACUCAGUGACAGCUUUAUAAAUCACACCUGAAGCAAAUAAAAAUGCCAUGUCCAGAAUGA